GACGAACGCUGGCGGCGUGCCUAAUACAUGCCAGUAGAACGCUGAAGAGAGGAGCUUGCUCUUCUUGGAUGAGUUGCGAACGGGUGAGUAACGCGUAGGUAACCUGCCUUGUAGCGGGGGAUAACUAUUGGAAACGAUAGCUAAUACCGCAUAACAAUGGAUGACACAUGUCAUUUAUUUGAAAGGGGCAAUUGCUCCACUACAAGAUGGACCUGCGUUGUAUUAGCUAGUAGGUGAGGUAAUGGCUCACCUAGGCGACGAUACAUAGCCGACCUGAGAGGGUGAUCGGCCACACUGGGACUGAGACACGGCCCAGACUCCUACGGGAGGCAGCAGUAGGGAAUCUUCGGCAAUGGGGGCAACCCUGACCGAGCAACGCCGCGUGAGUGAAGAAGGUUUUCGGAUCGUAAAGCUCUGUUGUAAGUCAAGAACGGGUGUGAGAGUGGAAAGUUCACACUGUGACGGUAGCUUAACAGAAAGGGACGGCUAACUACGUG
This 497-nucleotide ribosomal RNA is filed under the name uncultured bacterium. RNAcentral's name for it is "partial 16S ribosomal RNA". It matches the Rfam family "Bacterial small subunit ribosomal RNA", at positions 28 to 507 of the family's 1533-position model. The record is from RNAcentral.